AUUGUGUGGGCCGCAGAUGUG
RNAcentral lists this unclassified non-coding RNA (21 nucleotides) under Chlamydomonas reinhardtii. Its description in RNAcentral is "small RNA Cre_0823". Lineage: Eukaryota; Viridiplantae; Chlorophyta; Chlorophyceae; Chlamydomonadales; Chlamydomonadaceae. The record is from RNAcentral.